ACGACCCGAAACCGGAUGAUCUAGACAUGGGCAAGGCGAAGCGUGCCGAAAGGCACGUGGAGGCCUGUUAGCGUUGGUGUCCUACAAUACCCUCGCGUGACCUAUGUCUAGGGGUGAAAGGCCCAUCGAAUCCGGAAACAGCUGGUUCCGACCGAAACAUGUCGAAGCAUGACCUCUGCCGAGGUAGUUCGUGGGGUAGAGCGACGGAUUGGGGGACCGCCCUCCGAGAGGAGUGCGCCCCCCUGUCCAACUCCGAACCUACGAACGCCGUUUGACGCAGGGAGUCCGGUGCACGGGGUAAGCCUGUGUACCGUGAGGGAGACAACCCAGAGCUGGGUUAAGGUCCCCAAGUGUGGACUAAGUGCGAUCGAAGGUGGUCCCGAGCCCUAGACAGCCGGGAGGUGAGCUUAGAAGCAGCUACCCUCUAAGAAAAGCGUAACAGCUUACCGGCCGAGGUUCGGGGCGCCCAAAAUGAUCGGGGCUCAAGUCCACCACCGAGACCUAGCCGUACCCGUUACAGGGUAAUCGCGUAGGUCGGCGUUCUGUUCGGGUGGAAGCACGGUCGAGAGAUCGUGUGGACCGUUCAGUAACGAAAAUCCUGGUCAUAGUAGCAGCGUUAGUCGGGUUAGAACCCCGACGGCCGAACGAGUAAGGGUUCCUCAGCAAUGCUGAUCAGCUGAGGGUUAGCCGGUCCUAAGUCUCACCGUAAGUCGAGUGAGUCAACAGGGAAACAGGUUAAUAUUCCUGUGCCAGUGUGCACUCAAAGCUGACGCUUUGGGGCCGCCUGAGCUGGGCUUUCGCCCAGUCGAACCGUCGAAGUUCGUGGAAGCCGUAAUGGCACGAAGCGAGCGAAUGGCGGAAUAGCGCAAGUCAGGUCAACCUAGAGCCCGUGAAAAGGCGAGCACACUGUCCGUACCGAGAUCCGACACAGGUACUCGUGGCGGCGAAAGCCAAGGCCUGUCGGGAUCAACCGACGUUAGGGAAUUCGGCAAGUUAGUCCCGUACGUUCGCAAUAAGGGAUGCCUGCCACGCGAAGUGGCAGGUCGCAGUGACUCGGGCGCUCCAACUGUCUAGUAACAACAUAGGUGACCGCAAAUCCGCAAGGACUCGUACGGUCACUGAAUCCUGCCCAGUGCGGGUAUCUGAACACCCAGUACAAUGGGACGAAGGACCCGUUAACGGCGGGGGUAACUAUGACCCUCUUAAGGUAGCGUAGUACCUUGCCGCUUCAGUAGCGGCUUGCAUGAAUGGAUCAAUGAGAGCGCCACUGUCCCAACGUUGGGCCCGGUGAACUGUACGUUCCAGUGCGGAGUCUGGAGACCCCCAAGGGGAAGCGAAGACCCUAUAGAGCUUUACUGCAGGCUGUCACUGAGACGUGGUCGCCAUUGUGCAGCAUAGGUAGGAGGCGGUACACAGGUACCCGCGCUAGCGGGCCACCGAGCCAGCAUUGAAAUACUACCCGAUGGUGACUGCGACUCUCACUCCUGGCGGAGGACACUGGUAGCCGGGCAGUUUGACUGGGGCGGUACGCGCUUGAAAAGAUAUCGAGCGCGCCCCAAGAUUUCCUCACCCGUGUCGGAGACGCGGGAUAGAGCGCAAGAGCAUACGGAAGUCUGACAGUGUCCGGCCCAACGACGGACGCUGACGCGAAAGCGUGGUCUAGCGAACCAAUUAGGCUGCUUGAUGCGGCCAAUUGCUGACAGAAAAGCUACCUUAGGGAUAACAGAGUCGUCACCCGCAAGAGCACAUAUCGACCGGGUGGCUUGCUACCUCGAUGUCGGUUCCCUCCAUCCUGCCCGUGCAGAAGCGGGCAAGGGUGAGGUUGUUCGCCUAUUAAAGGAGGUCGUGAGCUGGGUUUAGACCGUCGUGAGACAGGUCGGCUGCUAUCUAUUGGGGGUGUUACGGUNCGGUUGUUCGAGAGAGCACGUGCCGGGCAGCCACGCACCACGGGGUAAGAGCUGAACGCAUCUAAGCUCGAAACCCACCUGGAAACGAGGAACCACCGAGGCCACUCCUAGAAGAGGAGUUCGAUAGACUCGGGGUGUACGCGCCAAGGCAACGAGGCGUUGAGCCCGCGAGCACUAA
Molecule: ribosomal RNA, 2085 nt
Filed under: Natronobacterium lacisalsi AJ5
Lineage: Archaea; Methanobacteriati; Methanobacteriota; Halobacteria; Halobacteriales; Natrialbaceae
Description: bacterial LSU rRNA
Rfam family: Archaeal large subunit ribosomal RNA
Source: RNAcentral